This 480-nucleotide ribosomal RNA is filed under the name Triticum aestivum (bread wheat). RNAcentral's name for it is "partial small subunit ribosomal RNA". Lineage: Eukaryota; Viridiplantae; Streptophyta; Magnoliopsida; Poales; Poaceae. The record is from RNAcentral.
AUGACGACGGGGAACUUCGGGCUCCGCAGCGACGACGGUGGGGAGGUAGAGGCGGGCGUGGAUGUUGGCCGCGGGGUCAAGGACGACGUCCUUGGAAGCGACGCCAUUGGCGGUCGACCCGGCCGCUCUUAUGCACGCGCAGGACGCCCGGCAUAUCGUACUCCAGCUCCAGCUUUAGCAGGGCUAGGUGUCGGGACGAGGUACGGUCGGGUGUCUCCGCUAGCUCCUCGGCCGGCCGCCGCCGAUCAUAUACGCGAGAGGCUCUCGCCGAGAGCAUACAUACAGAUCAGCAUUGGGAGCAUCCAGAUCGAGAGUCUGACUACGUUUCCAGUCACCGUGAGCAAGCAGACAAGCAGCUGGAUGGAUAUGUCAUAUGUGCCUUCCGGCCGGAAGGAAUCAAUUGAUGCAGAGCUUGUGAUCCGGCGGAACCAAUCAGAAAGUGUGCACCUCUCCUCUCCAAUAAUGUGGUUGGUGGAGUAG